AUCCCAUGAUGAGGACACUUACGAAGUAACUCCUUGAAUCUUUCCCUUGCCUCAUACAAAGAUUCUUUAUCUAAUUUUUGGAAAGUUUUUAUCUGAUUAC
This 100-nucleotide small nucleolar RNA is filed under the name Gossypium arboreum. RNAcentral's name for it is "Plant small nucleolar RNA R71". It matches the Rfam family "Plant small nucleolar RNA R71". Rfam says of the family: R71 is a member of the C/D box family of snoRNAs containing the C (UGAUGA) and D (CUGA) box motifs. Multiple nearly identical copies of this snoRNA have been identified in Arabidopsis, and it is thought to function as a 2'-O-ribose methylation guide for 18S ribosomal RNA. RNAcentral also lists the same sequence under 1 other name. The record is from Rfam by way of RNAcentral. Lineage: Eukaryota; Viridiplantae; Streptophyta; Magnoliopsida; Malvales; Malvaceae.